Molecule: ribosomal RNA, 452 nt
Filed under: uncultured bacterium
Lineage: Bacteria
Description: bacterial SSU rRNA
Rfam family: Bacterial small subunit ribosomal RNA
Source: RNAcentral
AACGAACGCUGGCGGCAUGCCUAACACAUGCAAGUCGAACGAACCCUUCGGGGUUAGUGGCGCACGGGUGCGUAACGCGUGGGAACCUGCCUUUAGGUUCGGAAUAACUCAGAGAAAUUUGAGCUAAUACCGGAUAAUGUCUUCGGACCAAAGAUUUAUCGCCUUUAGAUGGGCCCGCGUUAGAUUAGAUAGUUGGUGGGGUAAUGGCCUACCAAGUCGACGAUCUAUAGCUGGUCUGAGAGGAUGAUCAGCCACACUGGGACUGAGACACGGCCCAGACUCCUACGGGAGGCAGCAGUGGGGAAUAUUGGACAAUGGGCGAAAGCCUGAUCCAGCAAUGCCGCGUGAGUGAUGAAGGCCUUAGGGUUGUAAAGCUCUUUUACCAGGGAUGAUAAUGACAGUACCUGGAGAAUAAGCUCCGGCUAACUCCGUGCCAGCCGCCGCCGUAACAC